UGGGGAAUCUUGCACAAUGGAGGAAACUCUGAUGCAGCGACGCCGCGUGAGCGAAGAAGCCUUUCGGGGUGUAAAGCUCUUACGCCAGGGACGAUAAUGACGGUACCUGGAGAAGCAGCUGCGGCUAACUACGUGCCAGCAGCCGCGGUAAUACGUAGGCAGCAAGCGUUGUUCGGAAUUACUGGGCGUAAAGGGCGCGCAGGCGGGAUAAAAAGUCAGUGGUGAAAUCCUACAGCUUAACUGUAGAACUGCCUUUGAUACUUUUAUUCUUGAGUUCGGGAGAGAGAGACGGAAUUCCAGGUGUAGUGGUGAAAUACGUAGAUAUCUGGAAGAACACCAGUUGCGAAGGCGGUCUCUUGGUCCGACACUGACGCUGAGGCGCGAAAGCGUGGGGAGCAAACA
Molecule: ribosomal RNA, 402 nt
Filed under: uncultured bacterium
Lineage: Bacteria
Description: bacterial SSU rRNA
Rfam family: Bacterial small subunit ribosomal RNA
Source: RNAcentral